AAUUAAUGAACUUGAAUAUAAGUAUAUGUUUUGAAUACAUAAUAAAGAAAUAAAAAUUUCUAUUAAUUU
RNAcentral lists this transfer RNA (69 nucleotides) under Ceratina okinawana. RNAcentral's name for it is "tRNA-Ser". The record is from RNAcentral. Lineage: Eukaryota; Metazoa; Arthropoda; Insecta; Hymenoptera; Apidae.